CCGAGAGAAAUUUUUUAUUGUGAUUGGAACAAGAGUGCUACAUCAUGUAUUUUUAUAUAAGUGAUAGAAAAUUUUAAUAAUACACAUAUCUCACCAUUUGUAUAGUUACAUGUGGUGUACCAUCCUGUGUUUCGGUCACACUGAAAAGUUUCUCUAU
This 157-nucleotide microRNA precursor is filed under the name Malus domestica (apple). RNAcentral describes it as "miR10993f stem-loop (mdm-MIR10993f)". The record is from miRBase by way of RNAcentral. Lineage: Eukaryota; Viridiplantae; Streptophyta; Magnoliopsida; Rosales; Rosaceae.